Molecule: ribosomal RNA, 493 nt
Filed under: uncultured bacterium
Lineage: Bacteria
Description: bacterial SSU rRNA
Rfam family: Bacterial small subunit ribosomal RNA
Source: RNAcentral
GAUGAACGCUAGCGGCAGGCCUAAUACAUGCAAGUCGAACGGGAUGAAGUAGCAAUACUUCGUUCAGUGGCGCACGGGUGCGUAACGCGUAUGCAACCUACCUUAAACUGGGGGAUAGCCUUCCGAAAGGAAGAUUAAUACCGCAUAAGAUCACACGAGGGCAUCUGAGAGUGAUUAAAGAUUUAUUGGUUUAAGAUGGGCAUGCGUGCCAUUAGCUAGUUGGUAGGGUAACGGCCUACCAAGGCUACGAUGGCUAGGGGUUCUGAGAGGAUGAUCCCCCACACUGGUACUGAGAUACGGACCAGACUCCUACGGGAGGCAGCAGUAGGGAAUAUUGGGCAAUGGACGCAAGUCUGACCCAGCCAUGCCGCGUGCAGGAAGAAGGCCUUCUGGGUUGUAAACUGCUUUUAUCUAGGAAGAAAAAACUCUUGCGAGAGGAACUGACGGUACUAGAUGAAUAAGCACCGGCUAACUCCGUGCCAGCAGCCGCGGU